RNAcentral lists this ribosomal RNA (403 nucleotides) under uncultured bacterium. Its description in RNAcentral is "partial 16S ribosomal RNA". It matches the Rfam family "Bacterial small subunit ribosomal RNA", at positions 30 to 526 of the family's 1533-position model. The record is from RNAcentral.
AUUGAACGCUGGCGGCAGGCCUAACACAUGCAAGUCGAGCGAGCGGCGGACGGGUGAGUAAAGUAUGGGGACUGACCGAUAAAGGGGGAGAAAUACUGGAAACGGGAGCUAAUACCGCAUACUAUCAGAUAACCAAUAUGGGAUUAGCUAGUAGGUGAGGUAAUGACUCACUUAGGCGAAGAUCCCUAGCUGGUCUGAGAGGAUGAUCAGCCACACUGGGACUGAGACACGGCCCAGACUCCUACGGAGGCAGCAGUGGGGAAUAUUGCACAAUGGGCGCAAGCCUGAUGCAGCCAUGCCGCGUGUAUGAAGAAGGCCCUAGGGUUGUAAAGUACUUGCAGUCGGGAGGCGUUACCGACAGAAGAAGCACCGGCUAACUCCGUGCCAGCAGCCGCGGUAAUUC